GUUUUCCUACGGGGGGCAGCAGUGGGGAAUUUUGGGCAAUGGGCGCAAGCCUGAUCCAGCUAUUCCGCGUGUGGGAUGAAGGCCCUCUGGUUGUAAACCACUUUUGUAGAGAACGAAAAGACACCUUCGAAUAAAGGGUGUUGCUGACGGUACUCUAAGAAUAAGCACCGGCUAACUACGUGCCAGCAGCCGCGGUAAUACGUAGGGUGCGAGCGUUAAUCGGAAUUACUGGGUGCAAAGGGUGCGCAGGCGGUUGAUGAA
RNAcentral lists this ribosomal RNA (261 nucleotides) under uncultured bacterium. RNAcentral's name for it is "partial 16S ribosomal RNA". It matches the Rfam family "Bacterial small subunit ribosomal RNA", at positions 333 to 586 of the family's 1533-position model. The record is from RNAcentral.